This 254-nucleotide ribosomal RNA is filed under the name uncultured bacterium. Its description in RNAcentral is "partial 16S ribosomal RNA". It matches the Rfam family "Bacterial small subunit ribosomal RNA", at positions 524 to 776 of the family's 1533-position model. The record is from RNAcentral.
UACGUAGGGAGCAAGCGUUGUUCGGAUUUACUGGGCGUAAAGGGCGCGUAGGCGGCAUAUUAAGUCAUCUGUGAAAUCUCCGAGCUUAACUCGGAACUGUCAGCUGAUACUGAUGUGCUAGAGUGCGGAAGGGGCAAUCGGAAUUCUUGGUGUAGCGGUGAAAUGCGUAGAUAUCAAGAGGAACACCUGAGGUGAAGACGGGUUGCUGGGCCGACACUGACGCUGAGUGCGCGAAAGCCAGGGGAGCAAACGGG